RNAcentral lists this long non-coding RNA (1421 nucleotides) under Anser cygnoides (Swan goose). Its description in RNAcentral is "lncRNA (ENSACDG00005017517.1)". The record is from RNAcentral. Lineage: Eukaryota; Metazoa; Chordata; Aves; Anseriformes; Anatidae.
CUCAUCUUUAAGUUGCACUGAUACAUGUGUAUGAUGCAAAGAAGUGGACAGGGAGAAAAGUGUGAAGGUUCAUACUGAACGUAACCCCUUAACCACAUAGUUCUGUUUUGGAAGAGAAAUAGUUGCCCUAUGUCAGUAUCAGCGAAGUCUAUUUAGUGCCAUACACAAAGACCCUGGACAGACAGUCUCUGAGAAGGAUUUCCACACUAUUUCUCUUUGAGGCAACACAUAGAGCACUGUUCGUCCUCAUGUUUUUUACACAAAAUAUGGAACAUUUGAAAGUCUAUAGGGAAAUUGGGAUACAACCCAUGCAGGUGUCUGUGGUAAAAUUAGAAAUGAACUUUAUAAUGAAAACAUCAGUGUAAUAUUUGAUCUAAUCAGAAAUAAUUUGCAUAGCAUUGUAUCAGAGAUUUUAACAUCCUAAUGCUAUUACCUUUGAAUACAGGAAAAAAGUCUUUCAAAACUAUGCUUGGUGUAAGCAUCCUGUUUUCAUUUACAGUUCUUGUAGUCUCAUUGGAAAUAACCUUCUUCAUUUGUGGCCUGCUAUUUGCCCUGGUUGUGGAAGAAUGGGUUUGGGAUUAUGCUGUAACAGUUACUGUUAUUCAUAUCAUCAUAACCUCAGUUGUUAUGUCUGAAUUCCCUCUGAUGUUACACUGGUGGCUGGCAUUAGAAUCUCCGUAUUCUGAUUCAUCAACAAAAACUACACACGCUUUUCUCUUGAGUCUGAUAUUGUCAAGAAUGUGCAGAUGGAAAGGAUUAGAGACUACAGCAAACCAGAAACUGAGUGAAAAUUCUUACUGGCUAUGGGGAUUUCCAGUCAGUUCUUCCUAGAAAAACUGAAAUACUAUUUAUAGUACUCAACUUAUUGCAGAAGGGUACAGUGACCAAACUGUUACUUAUAGGAAAAAUCUUCUAAUUUUUCAUCAAACGUAUGAGUUUUAUCUUUGUGGCACUACUUAUUUCUAAGCUAUCCAUGGUCCCAAAAUGCAUACUGGUGAACUAGGAACAUUUUACGUACUGUGACUUCCCUUCAUUUCUACAGUUCCAGUGAUUUGAAUAUUAUCAACACAAUGAAGUGCUUCAUUAGGAUAAGUCAUUAUUAUAAAUCAAGCAUUCUGAGACAGAAAAUAUGAAGUGUAUCUUUGUUUGCAACCUUCCCUUUUACAAGUUGCUGUGUGCAUUAUGACCAUCCUUGAAUUACAUUCACAUACUUAUUUUUUGAGAUUUUUGCCUGGUUCAAUGCCCAGGAUGGAUGCAUGAGAAAGGCAGGAUUAGGCUGAAGGGAUAUUCUCAAUUUGGAGUGCAGCAGAAAGGAUGCAAUUAAUAUAACUUGAAAACCUGGAGUUACCACUGUGAUUGUCUGCUCUGUGGCCACCUGAUCUCCAGAACAGAGACCACAGAAUUCCCUCAGUAAUCCCAAU